CCCAGGGGCGGGCGCGGAGAGGGCCCACAGUGCACUCGGUGACACUGUAUGCCCUCACCGCUCAGCCCCUGGG
RNAcentral lists this microRNA precursor (73 nucleotides) under Canis lupus familiaris (dog). RNAcentral describes it as "mir-675 microRNA precursor family". It matches the Rfam family "mir-675 microRNA precursor family". The record is from Rfam by way of RNAcentral. Lineage: Eukaryota; Metazoa; Chordata; Mammalia; Carnivora; Canidae. RNAcentral also lists the same sequence under 3 other names.